CCUACGGGAGGCAGCAGUGAGGAAUAUUGGGCAAUGGAGGAAACUCUGACCCAGCAACGCCGCGUGAAUGAUGAAGGUCUUCGGAUUGUAAAGCUCUUUUCUAAGGGAAGUAGAAAGUGACGGUACCUUAGGAAUAUGCCUCGGCUAACUACGGGCCAGCAGUCGCGGUAAUACGUAGGAGGCGAGCGUUAUCCGGAUGGACUGGGCGUAAAGGGUGCGUAGGUGGUUUGGCAAGUUAGUUGCGUAAGUCCAUGGCUAAACCUUGAAAUUACAGCUAAAAAUGGUGGUCUUGAGUACAGGAGAGGCGGGAGGAAGUCGUGGGGGAGCGGUGAAAGGCGUAGAUAUGAGGAAGAACUCCGAGGGCGAGGGCGGUUGACGGGACUGUAAAUGACACUGAGGCUAGAAAGUGUGGGGAGCAAACAGGAUUAGAGACCCGUGUAGUC
Molecule: ribosomal RNA, 443 nt
Filed under: uncultured bacterium
Lineage: Bacteria
Description: partial 16S ribosomal RNA
Rfam family: Bacterial small subunit ribosomal RNA
Source: RNAcentral